CUGAGUAGAGAGUCUACAUAUCCAGACAGUCUUUCAGUGAGGUGCCAAUCCCGAGAUGAUGGGGCACUGCACUUUCUGAAA
Non-coding RNA from Chelonoidis abingdonii (Abingdon island giant tortoise), 81 nucleotides. NCBI's taxonomy places the organism in Eukaryota, Metazoa, Chordata, Testudines, Testudinidae. The record is from RefSeq and is a predicted model, not a curated record.